ACUCCUACGGGAGGCAGCAGUGGGAAUCUUGGACAAUGGGGGCACCCGUAGCAUCCAGCCAUGCCGCGUGAGUGAUGAAGGCCUUAGGGUCGUAAAGCUCUUUCGCCUGUGAUGAUAAUGACAGUAGCAGGUAAAGAAACCCGCGUACAUCCGUGCCAGCAGCCGCGGUAAUACGGAGGGGGUUAGCGUUGUUCGGAAUUACUGGGCGUAAAGCGCAUGCAGGUGGUUUGUUAAGUCAGAUGUGAAAGCCCGGGCUCAACCUCGGAAUAGCAUUUGAAACUGGCAAGCUAGAGUACUGUAGAGGGGNGAGAAUUUCAGGUGUAGCGGUGAAAUGCGUAGAGAUCUGAAGGAAUACCGGUGGCGAAGGCGGCCCC
This 374-nucleotide ribosomal RNA is filed under the name uncultured bacterium. RNAcentral describes it as "bacterial SSU rRNA". It matches the Rfam family "Bacterial small subunit ribosomal RNA", at positions 335 to 728 of the family's 1533-position model. The record is from RNAcentral.